CACGGCGCACGGGUGCGUAACACGUGGGCAAUCUGCCCUCCGAUGGGGGAUAACCCCGCGAAAGCGGGGCUAAUACCGCAUGACAUUCCGGGGACCCCGGUCCCUGGACUCAAAGGCCGCAAGGCCGUCGGAGGAGGAGCCCGCGCCCGAUUAGCUAGUUGGUGAGGUAACGGCUCACCAAGGCUUUGAUCGGUAGCCGGUCUGAGAGGAUGGCCGGCCACACUGGAACUGAGACACGGUCCAGACUCCUACGGGAGGCAGCAGUGGGGAAUAUUGCGCAAUGGGCGAAAGCCUGACGCAGCGACGCCGCGUGGGGGAUGAAGCUUCUCGGAGUGUAAACCCCUUUCGACCCGGACGAAUGACCCGCAAGGGUUUGACGGUACGGGUAUAAGAAGCCCCGGCUAACUACGUGCCAGCAGCCGCGGUAAUACGUAGGGGGCCAGCGUUGCUCGGAAUUACUGGGCGUAAAGGGUUCGUAGGCGGUGCGGCAAGUUGGGAGUGAAAUCUCUGGGCUUAACCCAGAGGCUGCUUUCAAAACUGCCGUGCUCGAGUGCGGGAGAGGCCAGUGGAAUUGCAGGUGUAGCGGUGAAAUGCGUAGAUAUCUGCAGGAACACCCGUGGCGAAGGCGGCUGGCUGGACCGCAACUGACGCUGAGGAACGAAAGCUAGGGGAGCAAACAGGAUUAGAUACCCUGGUAGUCCUAGCCCUAAACCAUCAGAACUUGGGGUGGCUCGCGUAGGCGGGUCGUCCCGUAGCUAACGCGUUAAGUUCUGCGCCUGGGGAGUACGGUCGCAAGACUGAAACUCAAAGGAAUUGACGGGGGCCCGCACAAGCGGUGGAACAUGUGGUUCAAUUCGA
RNAcentral lists this ribosomal RNA (858 nucleotides) under uncultured bacterium. RNAcentral describes it as "bacterial SSU rRNA". It matches the Rfam family "Bacterial small subunit ribosomal RNA", at positions 94 to 954 of the family's 1533-position model. The record is from RNAcentral.